CAUGGCGGAGGAGGUGGGCACCUGGUAAUCCCCAGGUGUGAUUGCCUCCACGCUCUCUACCCUUGUCUAUUCGCACCUUUUGUCGUUCCCUCGGCGGGUCUUGACCCGCCGGCGGCAACCUUUAACAAACCUUUUGCAGUAGCAUCCGAUUCUUCUGAUCAAAUUAUCAAAUCGUUA
RNAcentral lists this unclassified non-coding RNA (177 nucleotides) under uncultured fungus. Its description in RNAcentral is "sequence contains ITS1". The record is from RNAcentral. Lineage: Eukaryota; Fungi.